ACGGGAGGCGCAGUGAGGAAUAUUGCGCAAUGGGGGAAACCCUGACGCAGCGACGCCGCGUGAAGGACGAAGGUCUUCGGAUUGUAAACUUCUGUCUUCAGGGAAGAAACAAAUGACGGUACCUGGGGAGGAAGCCCCGGCUAACUACGUGCCAGCAGCCGCGGUAAUACGUAGGGGGCGAGCGUUGUCCGGAUUUAUUGGGUGUAAAGGGUGCGUAGGCGGAUAUGUAAGUCUAACGUGAAAACUACAGGCUCGACUUGUAGCUUGCGUUUGAUACUGUGUAUCUUGAGUAAAGUAGAGGUAAGUGGAAUUUCCAGUGUAGCGGUGAAAUGCGUAGAUAUUGGAAGGAACACCAGUGGCGAAGGCGACUUACUGGGCUUUCACUGACGCUGAGGCACGAAAGCGUGGGUAGCAAACAGGAUUAGAUACCCUGGUA
This 436-nucleotide ribosomal RNA is filed under the name uncultured Oscillospiraceae bacterium. RNAcentral's name for it is "partial 16S ribosomal RNA". It matches the Rfam family "Bacterial small subunit ribosomal RNA", at positions 341 to 792 of the family's 1533-position model. The record is from RNAcentral. Lineage: Bacteria; Bacillati; Bacillota; Clostridia; Eubacteriales; Oscillospiraceae.